Molecule: long non-coding RNA, 273 nt
Filed under: Homo sapiens (human)
Lineage: Eukaryota; Metazoa; Chordata; Mammalia; Primates; Hominidae
Description: non-protein coding lnc-HIST1H1A-2:1
Source: RNAcentral
ACUCCCGCGGUCUCUUAACGCACCUCGUUUUUCGUCCAGUGGACUCAGACCUGUAGUCUUCCACCAGGAUCGGCUCCUUUCCCGGAGCUCUCGCUCUUAGAGGAAAUUGAGAGAAGCAUCAGCGGAGACCCAUCUGUGGCUCUCCAGAGGGCGCGGCAUUCAGACCCCAGAUCCAGCUGUGAGAACGGACCCCAGGCUCACACCAGGCCUGCGGGAGGCGGCCCACCAGAGGCGCUAGAAAACAAGCCUCGCGGGGAGGCGCGCAGGGCGACU